CACGGGGGUUGCGAGCGUUGUCCGGAAUUACUGGGCGUAAAGAGCUCGUAGGUGGUUUGUCACGUCGUCUGUGAAAUUCCGGGGCUUAACCUCGGGCGUGCAGGCGAUACGGGCAAUACUUGAGUGCUGUAGGGGAGACUGGAAUUCCUGGUGUAGCGGUGGAAUGCGCAGAUAUCAGGAGGAACACCGAUGGCGAAGGCAGGUCUCUGGGCAGUAACUGACGCUGAGGAGCGAAAGCAUGGGUAGCGAACAGGAUUAGAUACCCCGGUA
Molecule: ribosomal RNA, 270 nt
Filed under: uncultured prokaryote
Description: partial 16S ribosomal RNA
Rfam family: Bacterial small subunit ribosomal RNA
Source: RNAcentral